AAGGGUGAACGGGGCGUCUAAACAUUAUCAUCACGACGGUGGAAACAUUACCACCAAACGUCUGGGGUCGUUGUCCAAUGAGCGCCCAGAUCGUUACCGUAGAU
RNAcentral lists this non-coding RNA (104 nucleotides) under unclassified sequences. Its description in RNAcentral is "Methylobacterium-1 RNA". It matches the Rfam family "Methylobacterium-1 RNA". The record is from RNAcentral. RNAcentral also lists the same sequence under 1 other name.